RNAcentral lists this ribosomal RNA (433 nucleotides) under uncultured bacterium. Its description in RNAcentral is "partial 16S ribosomal RNA". It matches the Rfam family "Bacterial small subunit ribosomal RNA", at positions 29 to 507 of the family's 1533-position model. The record is from RNAcentral.
AACGAACGCUGGCGGCAUGCCUAACACAUGCAAGUCGAACGAGACCUUCGGGUCUAGUGGCGCACGGGUGCGUAACGCGUGGGAACCUGCCUUUAGGUUCGGAAUAACUCAGAGAAAUUUGAGCUAAUACCGGAUGAUGUCUUCGGACCAAAGAUUUAUCGCCUUUAGAUGGGCCCGCGUUGGAUUAGCUAGUUGGUGGGGUAAAGGCCUACCAAGGCGACGAUCCAUAGGUGGUCUGAGAGGAUGAUCAGCCACACUGGGACUGAGACACGGCCCAGACUCCUACGGGAGGCAGCAGUGGGGAAUAUUGGACAAUGGGCGAAAGCCUGAUCCAGCAAUGCCGCGUGAGUGAUGAAGGCCUUAGGGUUGUAAAGCUCUUUUACCCGAGAUGAUAAUGACAGUAUCGGGAGAAUAAGCUCCGGCUAACUCCGUG